GAAGCAAUUUAGAUCGAAAUUUAACCUAUAUUUUUUUGGGUAACUCUUUUACCUUUUUUUUUACUCUUUUAGAUAUAACUUUGGGCAAGUCAAGACGAUCAGCGACUGCCAACAACAAAUAUGCUUAGCCAAAGACAAGAGAUUUUAAAAAUUCCAUAAAAAUGGCCAUACAAUAGCCAUAUUGCUAUUGGCUUUGUGUUUGCGUUGAGUUGGGCAUUGAGAUUGCUUUCAGAUUCUACAACUGUCUGAAAUGCCGUCUGCUCUAUGAUUUUGCUGUGCCGACGCUGCGCUAAUUUGUUGGCAUUGGCCAACAUAGAAGGAGAGACUGGGGUCUGGGCAGGAAAUGCAGGCGCAAAAGCUGCCGACGACGAUGUCUGGGUAGAGUCGCAGAUUCUUGGCAAUUUCUGUUUGAUUUAUUAGCCAUCAUUACACACAUUCAAUAUGCUAUCUGCAAUCAAAAUCAAUACAUCUUUACUCCAUCGUCCAUUUAUACAGAUACAGAUACAUAGAGAUAUGUAUGUAUCAGUUGAGCAUUUUCUUUAGUACUUCCGGCUCAGGUGUUUGUCGACGGAAGAGGAAAAUGUCCGGCAGCCGAAAAACAAACAUUUUCCGCUUUAAAAAAAUAACUGGAACGGGCCAAACAAUUCUGCGACUUGGCCGUACAUAAAUAACAGCCAAAAAUAGAGUAACAACUGUCUGUGUCUGUAUCUGAAUCUAACUAUGUCUGGGUGCAGAGAUUUAUGGCCAAAUGCAUUUGAUGCCCAUUUCUGGAUGCGUCUUUAAAACGCAAUAAAUAUUAAAGUCAUUGGCUCUGCGUGCCGUUUAUUUUGGCGAAAUACGAGGUACGAUGAAAGAGCUACCAACCAGAAGCUGGAUAGCUCGAUGGUGGAUGUAGUACAAUAUCACAUGGAAAAUGUGGAACAGUCAACGAACGGCAUGCAAGACAAAGUCUCUCCUGCUGUCUCCCACUCCCUCUCUCUCUUCUUUUGUUGUGGGCUGAUAAUAUUCAUUGCACAAUUAUGCCUUGCCUUUUUAGUUAAUUUAUGCAGUGUCUGCACGUCAGUCAGGUGAAAGAUAUCUAUAUAUACUAGCAGAUGGCGGCCCACGCCAAAUUAUUUGCUAUUUAGCCAGCCAACAACAAAAACAACACUGGGGCCCAGUUAGCUGAUCGGAAACUGGGUCGAACGGCAGCCGAAAUGGCUUAAGCUGAUUUCCUGCCAAGCGAAUUUCACUUUGUUUGCAUUUUAAUAAACAUUAUCGAGAGCCUGCAGAUGAAC
Drosophila willistoni is the source of this 1277-nucleotide long non-coding RNA. RefSeq lists it as uncharacterized. The record is from RefSeq and is a predicted model, not a curated record. The transcript has 3 exons. NCBI's taxonomy places the organism in Eukaryota, Metazoa, Arthropoda, Insecta, Diptera, Drosophilidae.